AGGGCUCACCAAGGCGACGAUCCCUAGCUGGUCUGAGAGGAUGAUCAGCCACACUGGAACUGAGACACGGUCCAGACUCCUACGGGAGGCAGCAGUGGGGAAUAUUGCACAAUGGGCGCAAGCCUGAUGCAGCCAUGCCGCGUGUGUGAAGAAGGCCUUCGGGUUGUAAAGCACUUUCAGUCGUGAGGAAGGUAGUGUAGUUAAUAGCUGCAUCAUUUGACGUUAGCGACAGAAGAAGCACCGGCUAACUCCGUGCCAGCAGCCGCGGUAAUACGGAGGGUGCGAGCGUUAAUCGGAAUUACUGGGCGUAAAGCGCAUGCAGGUGGUUUGUUAAGUCAGAUGUGAAAGCCCGGGGCUCAACCUCGGAAUUGCAUUUGAAACUGGCAGACUAGAGUACUGUAGAGGGGGGUAGAAUUUCAGGUGUAGCGGUGAAAUGCGUAGAGAUCUGAAGGAAUACCGGUGGCGAAGGCGGCCCCCUGGACAGAUACUGACACUCAGAUGCGAAAGCGUGGGGAGCAAACAGGAUUAGAUACCCUGGUAGUCCACGCCGUAAACGAUGUCUACUUGGAGGUUGUGGCCUUGAGCCGUGGCUUUCGGAGCUAACGCGUUAAGUAGACCGCCUGGGGAGUACGGUCGCAAGAUUAAAACUCAAAUGAAUUGACGGGGGCCCGCACAAGCGGUGGAGCAUGUGGUUUAAUUCGAUGCAACGCGAAGAACCUUACCUACUCUUGACAUCCAGAGAACUUUCCAGAGAUGGAUUGGUGCCUUCGGGAACUCUGAGACAGGUGCUGCAUGGCUGUCGUCAGCUCGUGUUGUGAAAUGUUGGGUUAAGUCCCGCAACGAGCGCAACCCUUAUCCUUGUUUGCCAGCGAGUAAUGUCGGGAACUCCAGGGAGACUGCCGGUGAUAAACCGGAGGAAGGUGGGGACGACGUCAAGUCAUCAUGGCCCUUACGAGUAGGGCUACACACGUGCUACAAUGGCGCAUACAGAGGGCAGCCAACUUGCGAAAGUGAGCGAAUCCCAAAAAGUGCGUCGUAGUCCGGAUUGGAGUCUGCAACUCGACUCCAUGAAGUCGGAAUCGCUAGUAAUCGUGGAUCAGAAUGCCACGGUGAAUACGUUCCCGGGCCUUGUACACACCGCCCGUCACACCAUGGGAGUGGGCUGCAAAAGAAGUAGGUAGUUUAACCUUCGGGGGGACGCUUACCACUUUGUGGUUCAUGACUGGGGUGAAGUCGUAA
RNAcentral lists this ribosomal RNA (1239 nucleotides) under Vibrio parahaemolyticus. RNAcentral's name for it is "bacterial SSU rRNA". It matches the Rfam family "Bacterial small subunit ribosomal RNA", at positions 260 to 1491 of the family's 1533-position model. Lineage: Bacteria; Pseudomonadati; Pseudomonadota; Gammaproteobacteria; Vibrionales; Vibrionaceae. The record is from RNAcentral.